This 450-nucleotide ribosomal RNA is filed under the name Metschnikowia pulcherrima. RNAcentral describes it as "partial large subunit ribosomal RNA". It matches the Rfam family "Eukaryotic large subunit ribosomal RNA", at positions 87 to 531 of the family's 3401-position model. Lineage: Eukaryota; Fungi; Ascomycota; Pichiomycetes; Serinales; Metschnikowiaceae. The record is from RNAcentral.
CGGCGAGUGAGCGGCAAAGCUCAAUUUGAAAUCCCCCGGGAACUGUAGUUUGAAUAGUUUUGGGUCCGGCCGGCUGGGGUUAAGUCUACUGGUCUGUGGCGCCUGAAAGGGUGACUCCCCCGUGAACCCAAUAACGGCGUCAUCCCAUCUCCUUCGAGUUGUUUGGGAAUGCCGCUCUGUUUGGGUGGUAAAUUCCAUCUGGGCUAAAUACCGGCCAGAGACCGAUUGCGGACAAGUACAGUGAUGGAAAGAUGAACAGCACUUUGAAAAGAGAGUGACUUUACGUGAAAUUGUUGAAAGGGAAGGGCUUGCAAGCAGACACUUAACUGGGCCAGCACCGGGGCGUCUGGGACCACAACCACCGGGGAAUGUACCUUUCGAGGAUUAUAACCCCGUCCUUAUUCCCUUGCUGCCCCGAGGCCUGCAAUCUAAUGAUGCUGGCCUAAUGGU